ACACGGGCAAAUCCGGCUGGGGAUGCCGGGGCUCGGAGCGGAGGGGAUGGGGACGGUACCGGUACCGUGGCGGGUCCCCCGGGGCGGGCCCGAGGGGGCUGAGCCCGUACAAACUGCUGCCAGCCGCACACCGGUUUUGUCCAGGCUGGAGUGCCAGCGUGAGGCCAGCGAGGCCAUUCCUACACAGUCCCAAGGAGCAGCCGGGACCGAGAACACACCCUACGCUCGUCAAAACACCCCAUGGGGAGGGGGUUUUGCUUAAAUUCGACCCUCCCAACCCUGGUGCUCGCUGGGAAGCAGAGAAGUCGUCGUGGCACAGGACUCAGCUCAUCCUUCUGCGAGCGUUCCCCGGCACAGCGAUGCAGCCCCUGCUCAGCCAUGGGCACCUCAGGCCAGGCUGACCCAGCACAUGACUAUUUUAUGAUGCAUGAGAAAGAUAGGAUUUCUUUGAUUAAAAAUAAAAUAAAAAUGAUAAAAUAAUCAAACCCCAAACCAAGAAGCUGAUCCACCCCGAGAGGAGGAGGAGGAGGAGGAGGAUGGCUGGCCCCGCUGACCAGCCCAUGGAGCUCGCCUGCAGCACAGCACUGCCCUCCCCCUCCCCAAAAACUACACAUCCCAGUUUAGGUAAACAGCAGAUUAAAUGUAAAAACUUAAA
Molecule: non-coding RNA, 655 nt
Organism: Cyanistes caeruleus (blue tit)
Lineage: Eukaryota; Metazoa; Chordata; Aves; Passeriformes; Paridae
Source: RefSeq, a predicted model, not a curated record